AUUGAACGCUGGCGGCAUGCUUUACACAUGCAAGUCGAACGGCAGCGCGGGCUUCGGCCUGGCGGCGAGUGGCGAACGGGUGAGUAAUACAUCGGAACGUGCCCAGUAGUGGGGGAUAGCUCGGCGAAAGCCGGAUUAAUACCGCAUACGACCUGAGGGUGAAAGCGGGGGAUCUUCGGACCUCGCGCUAUUGGAGCGGCCGAUGGCAGAUUAGCUAGUUGGUGGGGUAAAGGCCUACCAAGGCGACGAUCUGUAGCUGGUCUGAGAGGACGACCAGCCACACUGGGACUGAGACACGGCCCAGACUCCUACGGGAGGCAGCAGUGGGGAAUCUUGGGCAAUGGGCGAAAGCCUGAUGCAGCAAUGCCGCGUGUGUGAUGAAGGCCUUCGGAUUGUAAAGCACUUUUGGCGGGAACGAAAAAGACUGUGCCAAUACCACGGUUCGAUGACGGUACCCGCAGAAUAAGCACCGGCUAACUACGUG
Molecule: ribosomal RNA, 484 nt
Filed under: uncultured bacterium
Lineage: Bacteria
Description: partial 16S ribosomal RNA
Rfam family: Bacterial small subunit ribosomal RNA
Source: RNAcentral